Molecule: long non-coding RNA, 344 nt
Organism: Hippocampus zosterae (dwarf seahorse)
Lineage: Eukaryota; Metazoa; Chordata; Actinopteri; Syngnathiformes; Syngnathidae
Exons: 3
Source: RefSeq, a predicted model, not a curated record
UGCCCCCUCCCAUGCGACUUCCUUUUAAAAUCAUCCCACCCAAGCGUGUGCGUGCGAGUGGGUAUGUUUCGACAAGUCCCGGAGGAGAAGCAAUCAGCACGACGAAAUGAGUCACGCUAAAAGAGAAGGACCACACAAUCUCCAGGCAGAACUGUUGUGAUUUGGGGAGCAUCGUGUCGGGCACCCCCUUGAAGCACAUCAAUAUUCACCAGGAUAUGACUGCUGGCAAGAAAACAGGAAGUUGGAAAACGCAAAGCCAAGGUGACAAAAACGUAAGCUCCUUGGUGGAGGUUUUGCAGAAGCUGGCACGCGGACCUCCAUCUAGUCACAGCCCCCCCCCCCCC